RNAcentral lists this ribosomal RNA (321 nucleotides) under uncultured soil bacterium. Its description in RNAcentral is "bacterial SSU rRNA". It matches the Rfam family "Bacterial small subunit ribosomal RNA", at positions 26 to 343 of the family's 1533-position model. The record is from RNAcentral.
AGAGUGAACGCUGGCGGUAGGCCUAACACAUGCAAGUCGAACGGCAGCACAGUGGUAGCAAUACCAUGGGUGGCGAGUGGCGGACGGGUGAGGAAUACAUCGGAAUCUACCUUUUCGUGGGGGAUAACGUAGGGAAACUUACGCUAAUACCGCAUACGCCCUUCGGGGGAAAGCCGGGGAUCGCAAGACCUGGCGCGGAUAGAUGAGCCGAUGUCGGAUUAGCUAGUUGGUGAGGUAAUGGCUCACCAAGGCGACGAUCCGUAGCUGGUCUGAGAGGAUGAUCAGCCACACUGGAACUGAGACACGGUCCAGACCUCCGUA